CCCGCUGAACUUAAGCAUAUCAAUAAGCGGAGGAAAAGAAACCAACAGGGAUUGCCUCAGUAACGGCGAGUGAAGCGGCAACAGCUCAAAUUUGAAAUCUGGCCCCCUCGGGGCCCGAGUUGUAAUUUGGAGAAGAUGCUUCGGGUGUGGCCCCGGUCUAAGUUCCUUGGAGCAGGACGUCACAGAGGGUGAGAAUCCCGUACGUGCCCGGUGGCCGCGCCCGUGUGAAGCUCUUUCGACGAGUCGAGUUGUUUGGGAAUGCAGCUCAAAAUGGGUGGUAAAUUCCAUCUAAAGCUAAAUAUUGGCGAGAGACCGAUAGCGAACAAGUACCGUGAGGGAAAGAUGAAAAGCACUUUGGAAAGAGAGUUAAACAGUACGUGAAAUUGUUGAAAGGGAAACGUUUGAAGUCAGUCGCGUCGGCCGAGACUCAGCCUCGCUUUUUCAGCUUGGUGCACUUCUCGGUUGACGGGUCAGCAUCAAUUUUGAUCGCCGGAAAAGGGCUGGGGGAAUGUGGCAUCUCUCGAGAUGUGUUAUAGCCCUCGGUUCGCAUACGGCGGUUGGGAUUGAGGAACUCAGCGCGCCUUUAUGGUCGAGGCUUUUGCCUACGCAACGCGCUUAGGAUGCUGGCAUAAUGGCUUUAAGCGACCCGUCUUGAAACACGG
RNAcentral lists this ribosomal RNA (662 nucleotides) under uncultured fungus. RNAcentral describes it as "eukaryotic LSU rRNA". It matches the Rfam family "Eukaryotic large subunit ribosomal RNA", at positions 24 to 664 of the family's 3401-position model. The record is from RNAcentral. Lineage: Eukaryota; Fungi.